This 439-nucleotide ribosomal RNA is filed under the name uncultured bacterium. RNAcentral's name for it is "partial 16S ribosomal RNA". It matches the Rfam family "Bacterial small subunit ribosomal RNA", at positions 339 to 795 of the family's 1533-position model. The record is from RNAcentral.
CUACGGGGCGCAGCAGUGAGGAAUAUUGCACAAUGGGGGGAACCCUGAUGCAGCAACGCCGCGUGGAGGAUGACGCAUUUCGGUGUGUAAACUCCUUUUAUAUGUCAAGAAAAUGACGGUAGCAUAUGAAUAAGCACCGGCUAACUCCGUGCCAGCAGCCGCGGUAAUACGGAGGGUGCAAGCGUUACUCGGAAUCACUGGGCGUAAAGGACGCGUAGGCGGGCUUGUAAGUCAGGUGUGAAAUCCUACAGCUUAACUGUAGAACUGCACUUGAAACUACGAGCCUAGAGUAUGGGAGGGGCAGAUGGAAUUAGUGGUGUAGGGGUAAAAUCCGUAGAUAUCACUAGGAAUACCUAAAGCGAAGGCGAUCUGCUGGAACAUAACUGACGCUAAGGCGUGAAAGCGUGGGGAGCAAACAGGAUUAGAUACCCCUGUAGUC